This 268-nucleotide ribosomal RNA is filed under the name uncultured soil bacterium. RNAcentral describes it as "partial 16S ribosomal RNA". It matches the Rfam family "Bacterial small subunit ribosomal RNA", at positions 26 to 282 of the family's 1533-position model. The record is from RNAcentral.
AGAAUCAACGCUGGCGGCGUGCCUCAGACAUGCAAGUCGAACGCGAAAGCCCCCUUCGGGGGGCAAGUAGAGUGGCGCACGGGUGAGUAACACGUAGGUAAUCUACCUUCGGAUGGGGAAUAACAACCGGAAACGGUUGCUAAUACCGCAUAAUGCAGCGGCACCUAAUGGUGACAGUUGUUAAAGCGGGGGAUCGAAAGACCUCGCGUCUGAAGAGGAGCCUGCGGCGGAUUAGCUAGUGGUAAGUAUGGCUUACAGGCAACGAUCC